GAACGGCAGCACAGUCGUAGCAAUACGAUGGGUGGCGAGUGGCGGACGGGUGAGUAAUGUAUCGGGACCUACCCAGACGUGGGGGAUAACGUAGGGAAACUUACGCUAAUACCGCAUACGUCCUACGGGAGAAAGCGGGGGAUCUUCGGACCUCGCGCGGUUGGACGGACCGAUGUGCGAUUAGCUAGUUGGUAGGGUAAUGGCCUACCAAGGCGACGAUCGCUAGCUGGUCUGAGAGGAUGAUCAGCCACACUGGAACUGAGACACGGUCCAGACUCCUACGGGAGGCAGCAGUGGGGAAUAUUGGACAAUGGGCGCAAGCCUGAUCCAGCAAUGCCGCGUGUGUGAAGAAGGCCCUCGGGUUGUAAAGCACUUUUAUCAGGAACGAAAUACCACGGGUCAAUACCCUGUGGGGCUGA
Molecule: ribosomal RNA, 419 nt
Filed under: uncultured Gammaproteobacteria bacterium
Lineage: Bacteria; Pseudomonadati; Pseudomonadota; Gammaproteobacteria
Description: bacterial SSU rRNA
Rfam family: Bacterial small subunit ribosomal RNA
Source: RNAcentral